Molecule: long non-coding RNA, 1069 nt
Organism: Oreochromis niloticus (Nile tilapia)
Lineage: Eukaryota; Metazoa; Chordata; Actinopteri; Cichliformes; Cichlidae
Exons: 3
Source: RefSeq, a predicted model, not a curated record
GGCCACCAAAUUACAGCCACAUGAGGUUUUACCACAAAUGCAAUGUCUUUUGGACUCAUUGGAAAUGAUGAAUUGCCAACCAAUUAUUGUUUGUGGAGACUUCAAUGAGGACCUUAUGAGCAGAGGAAAAAAACCCAUCCAAGAACUGUUCAGUCAAGAGGAUAUGCACAACUUAUUACUGCUGCAACCACAGAAAAACACACAUUGAUUGAUCACCUUUACAUAUCACAGCCAUACGCCUGCCUCCAAUCAGGUGUUCUGAAUACAUAUCACAGUUAUCACAACCCCAUUUAUUGUGUAAUUCACUAACACAAAAUGACUGCAAGGUUGUGAGGGAUAUGGACUUGCCAAGUGAUCUUAGUGUCUUUGCAACUGAGCACACUCUACCAGCAACACUGACAGCUCACCAGUGGGAGCUGAUAGAUAAGACUGCUCUCAUCCAUUGAAGAGCUGACCAGAAACAUGAACAGAAAGACUGCAACUGCACCUGAUGGGAUCCCUGCCAUAACAGAUGUGUUCUGUCCAGUGAAGGCAGUGGAGAAGCCCUACACUAAUCCUGAAACUGUGCCACGCUACUAGAAACCGGCUACAAGGAUGGGCAGCUGUUUUCGCAAAGUCAGCCAACCUCUUGCUUCCAAAUGACCCUUAUCCAGAAGUAUCCGUGAGUGCCUCAUCAACAGAAACUAAAGUGGAGACCUACCUCUCAGAGAAAAACGCACACAUAAGAAAAGCCGACCCACUUCAGUACUGGGAAGAACAUCCUAAUCUGUUUCCCUCUAUGGCUGCUGUUGCGAUCUCAGUGUGCCCCCUGUAGCUCUGUGGACAGUUUUGGAUUUGUUUACAUCUCACCCCAACCGGUCGCGGCAGAUGGCCGCCCCUCCCUGAGCCUGGUUCUGCCGGAGGUUUCUUCCUGUCAAAAGGGAGUUUUUCCUUCCCACUGUCGCCAAAGUGCUUGCUCAUAGGGGGUCAUAUGAUUGUUGGGUUUAUCUAUAUACAUUAAUGCUUGUAUGCUUUUCAUUUAUACUUUUGCCUUACUCUUCAGUUCAUAAUAUAAAGUUACUUGAAUGGU